UUUCUUGAGCGAAACAGCAUACCAAGCUUAAGAAAAAUGAAAUAGGGAAGUCUGUUGCUGCUAAAUCGCGCUAUCAGUACACGCUUUGCCAAAUGUGCAAAUAUUUGGCUAGGCAUAAAUCAACAGAUAAACAUCGGUUUCAACAGACAAAAUCUAAGAAAUUUCAAGCCUUUGCUUGGCUCUGCAUCAACCCAUGACAAAUAUUUGUCAUCUUACCCUGCAGUUAAGCCGGAGACGAAUAGAGACAUAGUAGUCGGGUUCAGAAUGGUACUGUAUUUGAUCCCUUGGUACUACAAAAGGUACCCAAGUUUGACAGAACGCAGUACAUUUUUUACGGCAUUGUAGAUUUUGCUCUACUAUCUUAUGUGUCAAUAAUAUGGAGGUCUUUCCCGCAUAGAAAAAUACAAUUCACCGCACAUUCCGAACAGUUCCGCGAGUUUGUUCGGUUUCCACGUUCCAGAGGACUUGCCAAGCGGUAUCGCUGCCUACUUCCAAUGCCGCGCUGUUUCACGGAUAUACGAAACCUUAAUCAAAUCAAAGGCCGGAAAAGGAUAGUAGCGUCGUCAAAUCAUCGUCCCACUGCUCUCAGUUUCUCGAGAACCGGACCAAUUUCGACUCGGAAGUUGCUAGCAAGCACCACCAGCCAAGGAAGCCAACCCUUCUUAAAUUCGUCCUGUGGAAGCGGAAACUACAAGCAACGUAUUUUGGACAAAAAAGCUGUGAUUCUCGUUAUUUACUUUUAAUUUUAAUAAUUCCUGAUAUUUUAUUGCAGGCAUAGUUCGAUUAUAUUUCAUUUACAUAUAAAAAAAUUAUAAAACAAUUUGUUUCAAAUAUUUACAGUGAAAAAAAAUGUAAUAAAAAAAACAUUUAUCACCAAAUUCGAAUUUUCUUUAUCUUAAUGUAUAAACGUAUCAGUACAGUAUAGAAUAUUGUUAAACUACCGUAACUUACC
Long non-coding RNA from Aedes aegypti (yellow fever mosquito), 952 nucleotides. RefSeq lists it as uncharacterized. Lineage: Eukaryota; Metazoa; Arthropoda; Insecta; Diptera; Culicidae. The record is from RefSeq and is a predicted model, not a curated record. The transcript is spliced from 4 exons.